UACGUAGGUGGCAAGCGCUAUCCGGAAUUAUUGGGCGUAAAGAGCGCGCAGGUGGUUGAUUAAGUCUGAUGUGAAAGCCCACGGCUUAACCGUGGAGGGUCAUUGGAAACUGGUCGACUUGAGUGCAGAAGAGGGAAGUGGAAUUCCAUGUGUAGCGGUGAAAUGCGUAGAGAUAUGGAGGAACACCAGUGGCGAAGGCGACUUUCUGGCCAAAAACUGACGCUGAGAUGCGAAAGCGUGGGGAGCAAACAGGAUUAGAUA
This 261-nucleotide ribosomal RNA is filed under the name uncultured prokaryote. RNAcentral describes it as "partial 16S ribosomal RNA". It matches the Rfam family "Bacterial small subunit ribosomal RNA", at positions 524 to 784 of the family's 1533-position model. The record is from RNAcentral.